RNAcentral lists this transfer RNA (82 nucleotides) under Streptomyces humicola. RNAcentral describes it as "tRNA-Leu". It matches the Rfam family "tRNA". From Rfam's summary of the family: Transfer RNA (tRNA) molecules are approximately 80 nucleotides in length. Lineage: Bacteria; Bacillati; Actinomycetota; Actinomycetes; Kitasatosporales; Streptomycetaceae. The record is from RNAcentral.
GCGGCCGUGGUGCAAAGGCGACACAGCAGGUUUAGGUCCUGUGGCCCCAACGGGCUUGAGGGUUCGAAUCCCUCCGGCCGCA